This 107-nucleotide small nuclear RNA is filed under the name Canis lupus familiaris (dog). The record is from RNAcentral. RNAcentral also lists the same sequence under 1 other name. Lineage: Eukaryota; Metazoa; Chordata; Mammalia; Carnivora; Canidae.
CUGCUCGCUUCGGCAGCACAUGUACUAAAAUUGGAAUGAUCCAGAGAAGAUUGGCAUGGCCCCUGUGCCAGGAUGACAUGCAAAUUAGUGAAGCGUUCCAUAUAUAC